RNAcentral lists this long non-coding RNA (3966 nucleotides) under Ananas comosus (pineapple). Its description in RNAcentral is "long non-coding RNA (ACOM_LNC012148)". Lineage: Eukaryota; Viridiplantae; Streptophyta; Magnoliopsida; Poales; Bromeliaceae. The record is from RNAcentral.
UGGAAUACUGCUAUUCUCAAGGUAUAUUGAAACUUAUUAAGAAAUUGCGCGGCUUGUGGUUCAUUUAGAACCAUGUGUGUGUGUGUGUAUAUAUAUAUAUGAAUUUAUUUUUGUUAAUUUCCUAAUACAUUUUUUUGACAGCAGAUUGGUAGCUUUACUACCUCAUUCAUUUUGAGACGUGGAAGAAAUGACUCUGUCAUCUUUACACUAAAUUUAGAAGUAGGUGUUCAAUCACCUAUAAUUUUUUUAAAGCAAUUAGCGUAUAUUCUCACAUAUAUUUUUUUUAUUUUUCUAUGAAGGCACCUGAGUGGGUUAACUGUGUGGAGAACAAUGUUCCUUCGUGGCUCAGUGCUCUACUUUUCAAAAGUACUUUGAAAAAUGAGUUAAGAGAGAUUUGUCGCAACCAUGGAAAGAGCGAAAGCUCUUUCUUUUGUUUGGAUUGUCACACUGCGAUUUGCUUGCAAUGUCUCCGCGAAGCACAUCAAGAACACAAAAAUAUCCGGGUACAAAAUUUUAGUGUAUUUAAAGUGUUUUUUCAAACCAUUAACUCACCUUUUUCUUAUGUAUAUAGGUGUACAAGAUAAAUGGAAGACUUUCAGUAAAGAAAUCUGUUGUUUUUGACUUUGAUCUCAGCGAUGUUCUUGUAUGUUUUUACCAAACAUUUAAUUAUAUGUACUUGUAAAUACUUCAUAUUUUUCUAACAUAAAUUUUUGAACUAUUGUUUGUUACCCACAAGAUGGAAACAGUAUAUUUGUUUCCAUCUGGCGGGAGAGUGGUGAAAGGAGCAGAAUCAUGUAAAUUCUGUGUUAAAACAAUGAGGUCAUGCAGGAAACAUGCAGAUUUCUGUUCCCUUCGAUGCAAAGUAAGCAGUUUUUUUAAUAGUUAAUUCUUUUAUAUUAGUAAAUUUUAAUGUUAUAUUUCUAUCUUAUAUAUUUGGUAGAGUUCUAAUUUUUAAUGUUUUACUUUUGUUUUAAAUGCUUUGUAGGUGUCAUGUUGGGCACGAUCUUUUGUCGAGGCCAAGGCUUUGUCCUGUGGGCCGGUUUCGAACGUCAAACCUCGCCGUAAAAACAUUUAGAUUAAUAAGCAUUUAGAGAUGAUUUUAAAUUGUUGUUUGUUCACAUUUUUUUUUUUUCUUUACAAUUAUUUGUCUGAUUCUUGUAGGCCAUAGCUGUCCUCCGAUCCACCAUAAGCAUAACAGGAAAGACGGAAAUGAGGCUCAGGAAGAGUUCUGAGAAAAUUUUAUUUCAUAUUUGAUAUACAUGAACUUACCAAUAGUCAGUGAAUGAUACAAUUUUUUGUUAGUUGGAUAAUAGAUGCGCUAUCUAGCUAUCGGUUGUGUUCCUGUUUCUGUUUCUUUGCUAUAUCGNNNNNNNNNNNNNNNNNNNNNNNNNCCAAAGAGAGAGAUAUCUUUUUGCAGGAGAAGGAAAAUAUCUGAAAUGUCUAGGCAGCGACUUUCUUGGGAUAAUGGGUGACAUCAAAUAUGAUGUACGAUUAGUUUUUAUGAACGUUGAUAUUGUGUUUGUUAAUCUUUUUCAUAAGUUUUAAAAUCCUGUCAUGUUUUUAUAGGAUUCGUUUGCUGGUGAGUCUGUUUUGUGCAUCAUGAUGUUGCUCUCGAGGCUUAUAAAGCGUUCUGAGAUAAUUGAUGACUGAAAGAAGAGUCAAUUACAUUGGUGCGUGUUCAUUGUUUAGUUAUAAUGUUGCUCUAAUUAUUUUGUAUUAGUAUUUACUAAGAUUUGCUUAUUUGUUUGGUAGGAAGAUGCCGACUGUUAAUGCGCUUUGUGUGCAACAUUGGGAUUUCGUUAGAGGAUGCUUAUCUCAAUUGUGAUGAAACUAUGUAUAAGCAUAAAUACAAAUUAAUAUUCGUUUAGUAUAUGUUAAUGGCGUAAUUUCUUAUAUUUUUAUUUUGUUUUGUCAGGAAGAAAAGUGAUACUGAUCGUUUGGCACUAACACGAGUGUUAUGCAGGACCACCGUGGGCUGGACCGAAAAGAUGACACUAUGAUACAGAGGAAAACGAACGUAGAGGUAUUUGUUAGUAAUGAAAAAAUAUUAUUCUUAGCAAUAUCGAUACGUCAUUCCUAAUUUUGAUUAUUAAUUUCAAACAAUGAAUGAUCGUAUUUACUGGUGCUACGUGGACUUACUGAAUUGAGCUGGUCGUUUUCGAGAUUCAGAAAAUAAGCCAAUGCAGGAAAGAUUAUUUUAAAUUUAGGGAUAUUGUUCCAACUCCUUAAACUUGUAUAUUUAUUCCUAUAAAUUUUAAUUCUCAAUAUUUUCCUCCAAACCUUUUAACUUCAAUUGAAUUUGAAUUUGAUUUAUUUUUUUUUCUUUCAAGUUGAAUUCUGAACAGCAAAUUAAAAACUUAAAUUGAAUUCCAACUUUUCCCCAAGUUUUGAAUUUGAAUUUUAUUUGGAAUUAAAAAUUCGAAGUAAAUUGUAGAUAGUUUUAUGUUUUAAUUUGCCAAGCUCAAAUUUAUAUUUUAAAUUGUACUUACUGUUUCAAAAUUUUAAUCUUAAUUAUAAUGUUUUUAGUUUAAAUUUAAAUUACAAUUAUAAAUCUAAUUUCUGUAAAUUUCUCUAGCAGAUGCUUAUAUAUAUGAAAAUAAAGAAACCUUAAAAUGCCCAAAAGAAAUAAGGAUAAUGCUAAAUACCAAUCAAAAUACCUUUUGAUUAAUUAGGCAGGUAGCUCGCUAGCUGGUUUUCAACACAGGUUUGACUAUACCCUUUGUUAAUUUACAGAUAGGGUUAUAGUCAUUUGCACAGAAGUAUAGCUUUAGUAUUAGACUAGCAACUGACCUGUGCAAUUUAAGAGUUAUAACAAUACUUUAAGAAAAUUUUAAUUAGUAUAUUUAUUUUUAAAUGUAUAAUAUAUGUAAUAUAAUUUUUAUGAAUGUUUAUAAAUAAAAUUUAAAUUUGUUUUUACAUGUAAAAAAGAAAAAAAAUUCUGGUGUUCUAUGCUGUUUACAUAAUACUAUUUUUUUUUCUAUUUUCAUUUUAAAACUAAAAAAAUUUCACUUAAUUAAUACGAAUUAAUUAAUUUUAUGAAUAUAAUUCUUAACAUUGAUUUGUAAUAAUUCUUUAUAAGUUAUAUGCAUUUAAUUACAAUGGUCAUUAAAUUAUUCAAAUUAAUUUAAUAACCUAUAUUGAAAAGAAAAAUUUUAUAGUUUAAAUAAAUUUUUUCUCUUAUAACUAAUUGUUUUGCUAUCAAUUUUGUUUUAAGUUUAACCUAUAUUGACUGUUAUAUAUAUUUAAUUAUUAUGAGUCAUUAAGUUAUUCAAAUUAGUAGCAGAAAAGUUUUAAAGUUUGAAUGGAAAAAAAUUCUCUUAUAACUAAUAGUCAAUUACUCUAUUUUAAUAGAAUAGAAAAUGAAAGGAUAUGAGUUUCAAUCUUAACAUUAGUGAGAAAACAAACUUAACUAAAGAAUAUUAAAUUAUGACUACUAACAUAAAUUGAAGCUUUUAAGUAUUCGUAUAAAUGAGUAAUAGUAAUAUUUUAAUUAAGUCGUUAAGAAAACUAUUAAAUUUUUUGAUAAUUUUUUAAGUAUUCGUAUAAAUUAGCGAAACUAUAAAAUUUUUGAUAAUUUUUAAGUGUUUGUAUAAAUUGACUUAUAAGAAUAGUUUAAUUAGUUGGAAGAAAACUAUAAAAAGUUUUAUAUAUAUAUAUAUAUAUAUAUAUAUAUUAUAAUUCUGAAAUACUGCUAUUCUCAGGUAUAUUGAAAACUUAAUUAUAGAAAUUGCGCGGCUUGUGGUUCAUUUAGAACAUGUGUGUGUGUGUGGUAUAUAUAUAUAUGAAUUUAUUUUUGUUAAUUUCCUAAUACAUUUUUUUGACAGCAGAUUGGAGCUUUACUACCUCAUUCAUUUUGAGACGUGGAAGAAAUGACUCUGUCAUCUUUACACUAAAUUUAGAAGUAGGUGUUCAAUCACCUAUAAUUUUUUUAAAGCAAUUAGCGUAUAUUCUCACAUAUAUUUUUUU